UAUAGGGCAGUGGCGCAGA
RNAcentral lists this unclassified non-coding RNA (19 nucleotides) under Mus musculus (house mouse). RNAcentral describes it as "oocyte_clustered_small_RNA2909". The record is from RNAcentral. Lineage: Eukaryota; Metazoa; Chordata; Mammalia; Rodentia; Muridae.